AACGCUGGCGGCGUGCCUAACACAUGCAAGUCGAGCGGCAGCGGGUGUAGCAAUACAUGCCGGCGAGCGGCGAACGGGUGAGUAAUGCUUCGGAAUCUGCCCAAUGGUGGGGAAUAACCAGCCGAAAGGUUGGCUAAUACCGCAUACGUCCUACGGGAGAAAGCAGGGGAUCGUAAGACCUUGCGCCAAUGGAUGAGCCGAAGUCGGAUUAGCUAGUUGGUAGGGUAACGGCCUACCAAGGCGACGAUCCGUAGCUGGUCUGAGAGGACGACCAGCCACACUGGGACUGAGACACGGCCCAGACUCCUACGGGAGGCAGCAGUGGGGAAUAUUGGACAAUGGGGGAAACCCUGAUCCAGCGACGCCGCGUGUGUGAAGAAGGCCUGCGGGUUGUAAAGCACUUUUAGUGGGGAUGAAAAGUUCAGGGCUAAUACCCCUGGAUCUUGACCUAACCCACAGAAAAAGCACCGGCUAACUCUGUGCCAGCAGCCGCGGUAAUACAGAGGGUGCAAGCGUUAAUCGGAAUUACUGGGCGUAAAGCGUGCGUA
This 548-nucleotide ribosomal RNA is filed under the name uncultured bacterium. RNAcentral describes it as "bacterial SSU rRNA". It matches the Rfam family "Bacterial small subunit ribosomal RNA", at positions 32 to 573 of the family's 1533-position model. The record is from RNAcentral.